GGCGCGGUAGCUCAGGCCGGUAGAGCACUCCCCUCCGAGGGAGCCGUCGCAGGUUCGAAUCCUGCCCGCGCCG
RNAcentral lists this transfer RNA (73 nucleotides) under Aquipseudomonas alcaligenes. RNAcentral's name for it is "tRNA-OTHER". It matches the Rfam family "tRNA". From Rfam's summary of the family: Transfer RNA (tRNA) molecules are approximately 80 nucleotides in length. Their secondary structure includes four short double-helical elements and three loops (D, anti-codon, and T loops). The record is from RNAcentral. RNAcentral also lists the same sequence under 4 other names. Lineage: Bacteria; Pseudomonadati; Pseudomonadota; Gammaproteobacteria; Pseudomonadales; Pseudomonadaceae.